GUCCACGCCGUAAACGAUGUCAACUAGUCGUCGGGGACUUCGGUCUUUGGUGGCGCAGCUAACGCGUGAAGUUGACCGCCUGGGGAGUACGGCCGCAAGGUUAAAACUCAAAUGAAUUGACGGGGGCCCGCACAAGCGGUGGAGCAUGUGGUUUAAUUCGAUGCAACGCGAACAACCUUACCUACCCUUGACAUCCUCGGAACUUGGCAGAGAUGCCUUGGUGCCUUCGGGAACCGAGAGACAGGUGCUGCAUGGCUGUCGU
This 262-nucleotide ribosomal RNA is filed under the name uncultured bacterium. RNAcentral describes it as "partial 16S ribosomal RNA". It matches the Rfam family "Bacterial small subunit ribosomal RNA", at positions 793 to 1055 of the family's 1533-position model. The record is from RNAcentral.